GAUGAACGCUAGCGGCAGGCUUAACACAUGCAAGUCGAGGGGCAACACGGGUAGCAAUACCUGGUGGCGACCGGCGCAAGGGUGCGUAACGCGUGAGCAACAUGCCCUAUACAGGGGGAUAAUCCAGGGAAACUUGGUCUAAUAUCCCAUAGUAUUUAGAGGUGGCAUCACCACUAAAUUAAAGCUUCGGUGGUAUAGGAUUGGCUCGCGUGACAUUAGCUGGAUGGUGGGGUAACGGCUCACCAUGGCGAUGAUGUCUAGGGGUUCUGAGAGGAAGACCCCCCCACACUGGGACUGAGACACGGCCCAGACUCCUACGGGAGGCAGCAGUGAGGAAUAUUGGACAAUGGAUGGAAAUCUGAUCCAGCCAUGCCGCGUGCAGGAAGACGGCCCUAUGGGUCGUAAACUGCUUUUCCACGGGAAGAACCCUCCGACGUGUCGGAGACUGACGGUACCGUGGGAAUAAGCAUCGGCUAACUCCGUGCCAGCAGCC
Molecule: ribosomal RNA, 493 nt
Filed under: uncultured bacterium
Lineage: Bacteria
Description: bacterial SSU rRNA
Rfam family: Bacterial small subunit ribosomal RNA
Source: RNAcentral